UGAGGAAUAUUGGUCAAUGGACGGAAGUCUGAACCAGCCAAGUAGCGUGCAGGACGACGGCCCUAUGGGUUGUAAACUGCUUUUGUAUGGGGAUAAAGUUAGGGACGUGUCCCUAUUUGCAGGUACCAUACGAAUAAGGACCGGCUAAUUCCGUGCCAGCAGCCGCGGUAAUACGGAAGGUCCAGGCGUUAUCCGGAUUUAUUGGGUUUAAAGGGAGCGUAGGCUGGAGAUUAAGUGUGUUGCGAAAUGUAGACGCUCAACGUCUGACUUGCAGCGCAUACUGGUUUCCUUGAGUACGCACAACGUUGGCGGAAUUCGUCGUGUAGCGGUGAAAUGCUUAGAUAUGACGAAGAACUCCGAUUGCGAAGGCAGCUGACGGGAGCGCAACUGACGCUUAAGCUCGAAGGUGCGGGUAUCAAACAGGAUUAGAUACCCUGGUAGUCCGCACAGUAAACGAUGGAUGCCCGCUGUUGGUACCUGGUAUCAGCGGCUAAGCGAAAGCAUUAAGCAUCCCACCUGGGGAGUACGCCGGCAACGGUG
Molecule: ribosomal RNA, 540 nt
Filed under: uncultured bacterium
Lineage: Bacteria
Description: bacterial SSU rRNA
Rfam family: Bacterial small subunit ribosomal RNA
Source: RNAcentral